AUCUGCUGCCUGUUUCUGUCCCGCCGCCCAUUUCCUUGCUCGGAAAACUUCUGAAACCCAUAAACACGACCGCUCCCGACCAUCAUCCCAAUCAGAGACGUAUCUAGGUUCUACGUUCAGCUAGGGCGUUGACUUUGACUUUGAUCGUUGACCGUCGAUUAUCAACCAUCAUAUUGAAAUUUGAUUAAAUAAUAUCAAGAAUUGUUCGAUAUAUAUGUAAAUGCACUAAAAUGUUCAACACUCAAGUCUCAAGUCAAUCAACACUCAAAUCUCCAACAUAUUCAAGUCACCCAAGUGCUCAACACUCUCAACUCAACUCUCAACACCGUCAACAAACAACAAAGGGUCGACAAAUUGCAAUUGCACAAGCACAAAUCAACAAAUAUAGUAGAAAUUUUUUCAAAUAAUGCUACACCCUAAUGUCCAGCUAUACAUUCUUAGAGGCAACGUGAAGUCCCACUCUUUACUUAGGUGAAAUCCCCUAAAAACUAUUGUCCAGGCUGAAGGGACUUUACUAUAAAAGAGUUGAUGAUAACAAUAAAAAGGGAUAUUUUGAUAAUCGAAUAGAAUGUUAUUUGUUUGCUCCUAUGCAUCAUAGAGUUUCCUUAAUAUGCUCAUCAGCUUGUGCCAUAUGAUAACAAUGUGAUCUUCUUUUGAUUUCUGAUGAUAUGUACAGCACUACAGGUCCCUUAUGAAAAGAAGAAAAAUAUUUGGCUAAAUUUUAUGAAGAUCUUUCAAGGACGUCUUUAACUAAAUUUCUUCAUUUAUUGGACAAAGUCUUGUCAAAUUCAAUGUCACAUACAUGCAUUGAAUAACUUUCCCAUAGUAAUAGCAUUUGUAUUUCUUCAACACUAAGUAAUUCAUCAAUGCAUUAACAGCUUUUUUCUGGGUAGAAUUCCUAUCUCAUUUAUAUUUAACUCUAUUUGUCCACUAGAAUUUCCUGAGCUCACUACAAAGGGCACACUUAAUGGGUUCCAGCUUCUUGUGGUACUAACAGGAAUUAUUGAACAUCUCUAGCAGAUUCAGCCACAAAUUUCACAGCUUAUGUGCUUUUCAACAUGUUAUCAACCUUACAAGGAAAACAGAAAACAGGGACUAUAGAGUUACAGACAAGUGAGACAACCAAAACAAUUCAAAUAUUCAAAUCUUCGACUUCAAGUAUUGAACUCACCAAUCACCACUGCUGACUGCACACUGCUGGCUGCUCGCUCAGUUGCUCGGCCGCGCCAGACGCCA
RNAcentral lists this long non-coding RNA (1236 nucleotides) under Olea europaea (common olive). RNAcentral describes it as "long non-coding RNA (OEUR_LNC007538)". The record is from RNAcentral. Lineage: Eukaryota; Viridiplantae; Streptophyta; Magnoliopsida; Lamiales; Oleaceae.